AAAUCUACCUGGAUUGCCAGUCAGCCCGGUUGGUCCCUGGUGAACUGUAAGUCCUGUUGUCCGUUACAUCAGUGAAGUCUCCUCUGCGUGACCGACUUUCACAUCUAUUUUGACACCGUGCUGCCGGAUUGGAAUGCAGGCGGAAGGAUUGGUUACUGCUCACAUCUAUAUAAAGCAGGGAGCACACCCGGGGGCUGGCCUCCCAAAAGCACCAGCUGUUACGAUCCUUUCCAUCUUAAUACAUUUUUGCCCACAUGUAAUGGACAACUUUUUGGUAAAAAUCUUCAGGCAUCGUUGUUUGAUUUUGAUGACACUGAUUAAAAUGCAUGGGAGAAAGUGCUUUAUAAUAGACACUGCAAGAACUAAGAGCACGUGAAGAAUAGGUAAUAGCCAAAUUCUUUUUCACUUUACACAGUCACACUCAAUUUUAGACAUGAAAUGUGUUAUUUGUCAUGCUGGGUGCGACUCAUCAUGUGAACGGUUGAAUCACCGUUUUAUGUGGCUCUGGAGAAAAUUUGGAUGAUGUCUUUGUCUUGUUUUGACUACAUUUUUUUUUAACAGAAAAGCAGCUUGAUAACAGUGGCUGUAAGUGGGUUAGCACCCAGACAGUCGACUUGCAUUAUUAGCAUGGGCUGAUUACUCAAAUUCCUGAAUUCAUAUUUUUGCCCUUAAGCAGUUACAUCGAGAGACCCAAAUGAAAUCGGGGGGGAAAAGUUUGCACAUAGCAAGUAUGAAAAUUAAAAAAGUAUUUUCAGGU
Molecule: long non-coding RNA, 757 nt
Organism: Hippocampus comes (tiger tail seahorse)
Lineage: Eukaryota; Metazoa; Chordata; Actinopteri; Syngnathiformes; Syngnathidae
Exons: 2
Source: RefSeq, a predicted model, not a curated record